ACACGCCCACGGCCAUCCGUUUCCACCUCCACUCAGCCGCCGCCGUGCUUCUCUGCUAAUUAUCCAGGUAGGUAAAUUAUAAAGGUAGUGUGACAAAUCAAAAUGGGAGAGCCAGCUCAUGGAGCUUCAUCAGGACCAACUGGAGCAGUGGAUCCUCCUACAGGUGUCCUCGGCGGUCCUUCUGAUCUUGCUGGAACUCCUCCAGUGAAGGAGCCGAAUACAAAUGUUACAAGAAAGAUGUAUCAGAAACAUCUAGAAGAAGAAGAAAACGAGGAAGGGGAAGAGGAAGAGGA
Molecule: long non-coding RNA, 293 nt
Organism: Lolium rigidum
Lineage: Eukaryota; Viridiplantae; Streptophyta; Magnoliopsida; Poales; Poaceae
Exons: 3
Source: RefSeq, a predicted model, not a curated record